UACGUAGGGGGCAAGCGUUGUCCGGAAUCAUUGGGCGUAAAGCGCGCGUAGGCGGCCAGACAAGUCCGGUGUGAAAGUCACAGGCUCAACCUGUGAAUGCCGCUGGAAACUGUCUGGCUAGAGUCCGGAAGGGGCGAGUGGAAUUCCUGGUGUAGCGGUGAAAUGCGCAGAUAUCAGGAGGAACACCUAUGGCGAAGGCAGCUCGCUGGGACGGUACUGACGCUGAUGCGCGAAAGCGUGGGGAGCGAUCCGG
Molecule: ribosomal RNA, 253 nt
Filed under: uncultured bacterium
Lineage: Bacteria
Description: partial 16S ribosomal RNA
Rfam family: Bacterial small subunit ribosomal RNA
Source: RNAcentral